This 1509-nucleotide ribosomal RNA is filed under the name Escherichia coli. RNAcentral describes it as "partial 23S ribosomal RNA". It matches the Rfam family "Bacterial large subunit ribosomal RNA", at positions 1438 to 2925 of the family's 2925-position model. The record is from RNAcentral. Lineage: Bacteria; Pseudomonadati; Pseudomonadota; Gammaproteobacteria; Enterobacterales; Enterobacteriaceae.
CCUGUACUUGGUGUUACUGCGAAGGGGGGACGGAGAAGGCUAUGUUGGCCGGGCGACGGUUGUCCCGGUUUAAGCGUGUAGGCUGGUUUUCCAGGCAAAUCCGGAAAAUCAAGGCUGAGGCGUGAUGACGAGGCACUACGGUGCUGAAGCAACAAAUGCCCUGCUUCCAGGAAAAGCCUCUAAGCAUCAGGUAACAUCAAAUCGUACCCCAAACCGACACAGGUGGUCAGGUAGAGAAUACCAAGGCGCUUGAGAGAACUCGGGUGAAGGAACUAGGCAAAAUGGUGCCGUAACUUCGGGAGAAGGCACGCUGAUAUGUAGGUGAAGUCCCUUGCGGAUGGAGCUGAAAUCAGUCGAAGAUACCAGCUGGCUGCAACUGUUUAUUAAAAACACAGCACUGUGCAAACACGAAAGUGGACGUAUACGGUGUGACGCCUGCCCGGUGCCGGAAGGUUAAUUGAUGGGGUUAGCGGUAACGCGAAGCUCUUGAUCGAAGCCCCGGUAAACGGCGGCCGUAACUAUAACGGUCCUAAGGUAGCGAAAUUCCUUGUCGGGUAAGUUCCGACCUGCACGAAUGGCGUAAUGAUGGCCAGGCUGUCUCCACCCGAGACUCAGUGAAAUUGAACUCGCUGUGAAGAUGCAGUGUACCCGCGGCAAGACGGAAAGACCCCGUGAACCUUUACUAUAGCUUGACACUGAACAUUGAGCCUUGAUGUGUAGGAUAGGUGGGAGGCUUUGAAGUGUGGACGCCAGUCUGCAUGGAGCCGACCUUGAAAUACCACCCUUUAAUGUUUGAUGUUCUAACGUUGGCCCGUUAUCCGGGUUGCGGACAGUGUCUGGUGGGUAGUUUGACUGGGGCGGUCUCCUCCUAAAGAGUAACGGAGGAGCACGAAGGUUGGCUAAUCCUGGUCGGACAUCAGGAGGUUAGUGCAAUGGCAUAAGCCAGCUUGACUGCGAGCGUGACGGCGCGAGCAGGUGCGAAAGCAGGUCAUAGUGAUCCGGUGGUUCUGAAUGGAAGGGCCAUCGCUCAACGGAUAAAAGGUACUCCGGGGAUAACAGGCUGAUACCGCCCAAGAGUUCAUAUCGACGGCGGUGUUUGGCACCUCGAUGUCGGCUCAUCACAUCCUGGGGCUGAAGUAGGUCCCAAGGGUAUGGCUGUUCGCCAUUUAAAGUGGUACGCGAGCUGGGUUUAGAACGUCGUGAGACAGUUCGGUCCCUAUCUGCCGUGGGCGCUGGAGAACUGAGGGGGGCUGCUCCUAGUACGAGAGGACCGGAGUGGACGCAUCACUGGUGUUCGGGUUGUCAUGCCAAUGGCACUGCCCGGUAGCUAAAUGCGGAAGAGAUAAGUGCUGAAAGCAUCUAAGCACGAAACUUGCCCCGAGAUGAGUUCUCCCUGACUCCCUGAGAGUCCUGAAGGAACGUUGAAGACGACGACGUUGAUAGGCCGGGUGUGUAAGCGCAGCGAUGCGUUGAGCUAACCGGUACUAAUGAACCGUGAGGCUUAACCUU